Molecule: ribosomal RNA, 639 nt
Filed under: uncultured marine bacterium
Lineage: Bacteria
Description: bacterial SSU rRNA
Rfam family: Bacterial small subunit ribosomal RNA
Source: RNAcentral
CGCGGCCUAUCAGCUUGUUGGAGAGGUAACGGCUCACCAAGGCAUCGACGGGUAGCUGGUCUGAGAGGAUGAUCAGCCACACUGGGACUGAGACACGGCCCAGACUCCUACGGGAGGCAGCAGUGGGGAAUCUUGCACAAUGGGCGCAAGCCUGAUGCAGCAACGCCGCGUGCGGGAAGAAGGCCCUAGGGUUGUAAACCGCUUUCAGUAGGGAAGAAAAUGACGGUACCUACAGAAGAAGGUGCGGCCAACUACGUGCCAGCAGCCGCGGUGACACGUAGGCACCAAGCGUUAUCCGGAUUUAUUGGGCGUAAAGAGCUCGUAGGCGGUUCAGUCAGUCGGGUGUGAAAACUUGAGGCUUAACCUCAAGAGGCCACCCGAUACUACUGUGACUCGAGUGCGGUAGGGGAGCGGGGAAUUCCUGGUGUAGCGGUGAAAUGCGCAGAUAUCAGGAGGAACACCAGUGGCGAAGGCGCCGCUCUGGGCCGUAACUGACGCUGAGGAGCGAAAGCAUGGGUAGCAAACAGGAUUAGAUACCCUGGUAGUCCAUGCCGUAAACGUUGGGCACUAGGUGUGGGUCUCAACCAACGAGAUCCGCGCCGUCGCUAACGCAUUAAGUGCCCCGCCUGGGGAGUACGG